GACGAACGCUGGCGGCGUGCUUAACACAUGCAAGUCGAGCGGAAAGGCCCCUUUGGGGGUACUCGAGCGGCGAACGGGUGAGUAACACGUGAGUAAUCUGCCCUCCACUCUGGGAUAACGUUCAGAUAUGGGCGCUAACACCGGAUGUACACAGGCUGACGCAUCUUGGUGUGUGGAAAGGUCUUCUGGUGGGGGUUGUGCUCGCGGCCUAUCAGCUUGUUGGUGGGGUAAUGGCCUAUCAAGGCUUUGACGGGUAACCGGCCUGAGAGGGUGACCGGCCACACUGGGGCUGAGACACGACCCAGGCUCCGACGGAAGGCAGCAGUGGGUAAUGUAGGACGAUGGGGGGAAGCCUGGUCCAGGAGCGCCGCGUGGGUGAUGCCAGGCUUCGGGUGGUAAGCCUCUUUCACGGUUGUCGAAGCUGCAUCUUUGUGGGUGUAAUGACGGUAGGUGGGGAAGAAGCACCGGCCAACUACGUG
Molecule: ribosomal RNA, 479 nt
Filed under: uncultured bacterium
Lineage: Bacteria
Description: partial 16S ribosomal RNA
Rfam family: Bacterial small subunit ribosomal RNA
Source: RNAcentral